UACGUAGGGCGCAAGCGUUGUCCGGAAUUAUUGGGCGUAAAGAGCUCGUAGGCGGUUUGUCGCGUCUGCUGUGAAAACUCGAGGCUCAACCUCGGGCUUGCAGUGGGUACGGGCAGACUAGAGUGCGGUAGGGGUGACUGGAAUUCCUGGUGUAGCGGUGGAAUGCGCAGAUAUCAGGAGGAACACCGAUGGCGAAGGCAGGUCACUGGGCCGCAACUGACGCUGAGGAGCGAAAGUGUGGGGAGCGAACAGG
Molecule: ribosomal RNA, 253 nt
Filed under: uncultured bacterium
Lineage: Bacteria
Description: partial 16S ribosomal RNA
Rfam family: Bacterial small subunit ribosomal RNA
Source: RNAcentral